This 505-nucleotide ribosomal RNA is filed under the name uncultured bacterium. RNAcentral's name for it is "partial 16S ribosomal RNA". It matches the Rfam family "Bacterial small subunit ribosomal RNA", at positions 28 to 507 of the family's 1533-position model. The record is from RNAcentral.
GACGAACGCUGGCGGCGUGCCUAAUACAUGCAAGUGGGACGCAAGGAAACACACUGUGCUUGCACACCGUGUUUUCUUGAGUCGCGAACGGGUGAGUAACGCGUAGGUAACCUGCCUAUUAGCGGGGGAUAACUAUUGGAAACGAUAGCUAAUACCGCAUAAUAUUAAUUAUUGCAUGAUAAUUGAUUGAAAGAUGCAAGCGCAUCACUAGUAGAUGGACCUGCGUUGUAUUAGCUAGUUGGUAAGGUAAGAGCUUACCAAGGCGACGAUACAUAGCCGACCUGAGAGGGUGAUCGGCCACACUGGGACUGAGACACGGCCCAGACUCCUACGGGAGGCAGCAGUAGGGAAUCUUCGGCAAUGGACGAAAGUCUGACCGAGCAACGCCGCGUGAGUGAAGAAGGUUUUCGGAUCGUAAAGCUCGGUUGUAAGUCAAGAACGUGUGUGAGAGUGGAAAGUUCACACAGUGACGGUAGCUUACCAGAAAGAGACGGCUAACUACGUG